GACGAACGCUGGCGGCGUGCUUAACACAUGCAAGUCGAACGGAAAGGCCCCUUUGGUGGUACUCGCGUGGCGAACGGGUGAGUAACACAUGAGUAACCUGCCCUUCACUUCGGUAUAACUUCCGGCAACUGGGGCUAAUACCGGCUAGGAAUCCUUGCUGCCUGGUGGGGGUUGGAAAGCUUCGGCGGUUUUGUGUGGACUCGCGGCUUAUCUGCUUGUUGGUUGGGUAGUGGCUUACCAACGCAUUGACGGGUAGGCGGCCCGGGAGGGCGACCGGCCACAUUGGGACUGAGAUACGGCCCAGACUCCUACGGGGGGCAGGAGGGGGGAAUAUUGCACAAUGGGCGGAAGCCUGAUGCAGCAACGCCGCGGGGGGGAUGAAGGCCUUCGGGGUGUAAACCGCUUUCAGCAGGGGCGAAGCUGGUGGUGACGGUACCUGCAGAAGAAGCACCGGCUAACUACGUG
Molecule: ribosomal RNA, 465 nt
Filed under: uncultured bacterium
Lineage: Bacteria
Description: partial 16S ribosomal RNA
Rfam family: Bacterial small subunit ribosomal RNA
Source: RNAcentral